AGUUUGAUCCUGGCUCAGAGUGAACGCUGGCGGUAGGCCUAACACAUGCAAGUCGAACGGCAGCACAGGAGAGCUUGCUCUCUGGGUGGCGAGUGGCGGACGGGUGAGGAAUACAUCGGAAUCUACUCUGUCGUGGGGGAUAACGUAGGGAAACUUACGCUAAUACCGCAUACGACCUACGGGUGAAAGCAGGGGACCUUCGGGCCUUGCGCGAUUGAAUGAGCCGAUGUCGGAUUAGCUAGUUGGCGGGGUAAAGGCCCACCAAGGCGACGAUCCGUAGCUGGUCUGAGAGGAUGAUCAGCCACACUGGAACUGAGACACGGUCCAGACUCCUACGGGAGGCAGCAGUGGGGAAUAUUGGACAAUGGGCGCAAGCCUGAUCCAGCCAUACCGCGUGGGUGAAGAAGGCCUUCGGGUUGUAAAGCCCUUUUGUUGGGAAAGAAAUCCAGCUGGCUAAUACCCGGUUGGGAUGACGGUACCCAAAGAAUAAGCACCGGCUAACUUCGUGCCAGCAGCCGCGGUAAUACGAAGGGUGCAAGCGUUACUCGGAAUUACUGGGCGUAAAGCGUGCGUAGGUGGUCGUUUAAGUCCGUUGUGAAAGCCCUGGGCUCAACCUGGGAACUGCAGUGGAUACUGGGCGACUAGAAUGUGGUAGAGGGUAGCGGAAUUCCUGGUGUAGCAGUGAAAUGCGUAGAGAUCAGGAGGAACAUCCAUGGCGAA
This 720-nucleotide ribosomal RNA is filed under the name uncultured bacterium. RNAcentral describes it as "bacterial SSU rRNA". It matches the Rfam family "Bacterial small subunit ribosomal RNA", at positions 10 to 719 of the family's 1533-position model. The record is from RNAcentral.